GGGGAAUAUUGGACAAUGGGCGAAAGCCUGAUCCAGCAAUGCCGCGUGAGUGAUGAAGGCCUUAGGGUUGUAAAGCUCUUUUACCAGGGAUGAUAAUGACAGUACCUGGAGAAUAAGCUCCGGCUAACUCCGUGCCAGCAGCCGCGGUAAUACGGAGGGAGCUAGCGUUGUUCGGAAUUACUGGGCGUAAAGCGCGCGUAGGCGGCUCAGCAAGUCAGGGGUGAAAUCCCGGGGCUCAACCCCGGAACUGCCCUUGAAACUGCUAGGCUAGAAUCCUGGAGAGGCGAGUGGAAUUCCGAGUGUAGAGGUGAAAUUCGUAGAUAUUCGGAAGAACACCAGUGGCGAAGGCGACUCGCUGGACAGGUAUUGACGCUGAGGUGCGAAAGCGUGGGGAGCAAAC
Molecule: ribosomal RNA, 400 nt
Filed under: uncultured bacterium
Lineage: Bacteria
Description: bacterial SSU rRNA
Rfam family: Bacterial small subunit ribosomal RNA
Source: RNAcentral